Molecule: unclassified non-coding RNA, 246 nt
Filed under: Hevea brasiliensis (rubber tree)
Lineage: Eukaryota; Viridiplantae; Streptophyta; Magnoliopsida; Malpighiales; Euphorbiaceae
Source: RNAcentral
AACCCUAAGUUUCAUAAGAAUUUCCCAUCCAUGAUAGGAAUUCCAAUUUUGGAAAGUAGUGGGUACUACACACAAGUUCAAUUUCAAUUUUAGUGUUCCCCAAAUGUAAUUUUGAGAAUUCCCCAAAUAUCUCUAUCUUUCGUCUCCCCUGUUUCUGAUAUGGUAUCUGCAAGUAUACAGACUGUGUCAAAUAAUAAAGUGAUAAGUAAAGUAUCAUUUCUAUGAGGAUUUGUAUUUAAGUACUAA